AUUGAACGCUGGCGGCAGGCCUAACACAUGCAAGUCGAACGGAUGAAGGGUACUUGCUCCUGCUUUCAGCUGCGGAGGGGUGAGCGAUGCCUAGGAAUAUGCGUGGUUGUGGUGGAUAGCGUCCGGAAACGGGCGCUAAUACCGCAAACGUCCAGAGGGUGAAAGUGGGGGAUCUUCGGACCUUACGUUAUCGGUUGAGUCUAGGUCGGAUUAGCUGGUUGGUGGGUUAAAGGGCUACCAAGGCGACGAUCCGUAACUCGUCUGCAGGGAUGAUCAGGCACCCUGGAACUGGAACACGGUCCAGACUCCUAAGGGAGGCGGCAGUGGGGAAUAUUGGACAAGGGGGGAAAGCCUGAUCCAGGCAGGCCGGGGGGGGGAAAAAGGUCUUCGGAUUGUAAAGCCCUUUUUGUUGGGAGAAAGGGCAGGAAGGUGAAAACUUCACGUUUUGACGGUACCAUAAGAAAAAGGAACGGCUAACUUCGUG
This 484-nucleotide ribosomal RNA is filed under the name uncultured bacterium. RNAcentral describes it as "partial 16S ribosomal RNA". It matches the Rfam family "Bacterial small subunit ribosomal RNA", at positions 30 to 507 of the family's 1533-position model. The record is from RNAcentral.